Molecule: ribosomal RNA, 506 nt
Filed under: uncultured bacterium
Lineage: Bacteria
Description: partial 16S ribosomal RNA
Rfam family: Bacterial small subunit ribosomal RNA
Source: RNAcentral
AGUGAACGCUGGCGGUAGGCCUAACACAUGCAAGUCGAACGGCAGCACAGGAGAGCUUGCUCUCUGGGUGGCGAGUGGCGGACGGGUGAGGAAUACAUCGGAAUCUACUCUGUCGUGGGGGAUAACGUAGGGAAACUUACGCUAAUACCGCAUACGACCUACGGGUGAAAGCAGGGGACCUUCCGGCCUUGCGCGAAUGAAUGAGCCGAUUGCGGGUUAGCUAGUUGGCGGGGUAAAGGACCACCAAGGCGACGAUCCGUAGCUGGUCUGAGAGGAUGAUCAGCCACACUGGAACUGAGACACGGUCCAGACUCCUACGGGAGGCAGCAGUGGGGAAUAUUGGACAAUGGGCGCAAGCCUGAUCCAGCCAUACCGCGUGGGUGAAGAAGGCCUUCGGGUUGUAAAGCCCUUUUGUUGGGAAAGAAAUCCAGCUGGCUAAUACCCGGUUGGGAUGACGGUACCCAAAGAAUAAGCACCGGCUAACUUCGUGCCAGCAGCCGCAGUAA